AGAAUAUAAGAAUCCGCCUCUUAACUUUUAAUUAAAAAACUAAAAACCGGCUCUUAAAUGAGAUAUUUAAAAGUCGAUUCUUAGCUUUUUUAAUUAAAAGUUAAGAGACGGGUUCUUAUAUUCC
Non-coding RNA from Brassica rapa (field mustard), 124 nucleotides. The record is from Rfam. Lineage: Eukaryota; Viridiplantae; Streptophyta; Magnoliopsida; Brassicales; Brassicaceae.